RNAcentral lists this ribosomal RNA (272 nucleotides) under Bacillus cereus. RNAcentral's name for it is "partial 16S ribosomal RNA". It matches the Rfam family "Bacterial small subunit ribosomal RNA", at positions 1 to 260 of the family's 1533-position model. The record is from RNAcentral. Lineage: Bacteria; Bacillati; Bacillota; Bacilli; Caryophanales; Bacillaceae.
UUUAUUGGAGAGUUUGAUCCUGGCUCAGGAUGAACGCUGGCGGCGUGCCUAAUACAUGCAAGUCGAGCGAAUGGAUUGAGAGCUUGCUCUCAAGAAGUUAGCGGCGGACGGGUGAGUAACACGUGGGUAACCUACCCAUAAGACUGGGAUAACUCCGGGAAACCGGGGCUAAUACCGGAUAACAUUUUGAACUGCAUGGUUCGAAAUUGAAAGGCGGCUUCGGCUGUCACUUAUGGAUGGACCCGCGUCGCAUUAGCUAGUUGGUGAGGUAA